RNAcentral lists this transfer RNA (71 nucleotides) under Marmota monax (woodchuck). RNAcentral describes it as "tRNA.Ala". The stretch from base 6 to 66 matches the Rfam family "tRNA", at positions 6 to 65 of the family's 71-position model. From Rfam's summary of the family: Transfer RNA (tRNA) molecules are approximately 80 nucleotides in length. Their secondary structure includes four short double-helical elements and three loops (D, anti-codon, and T loops). Lineage: Eukaryota; Metazoa; Chordata; Mammalia; Rodentia; Sciuridae. The record is from RNAcentral.
GGGGCUGUUGCUCAGUGGUAGAGUGCCUGCCUAGCAUGCAUGAGGCUCUGGGUUUGAUCCUCAGCAUCACA